Molecule: transfer RNA, 73 nt
Filed under: Podarcis lilfordi (Lilford's wall lizard)
Lineage: Eukaryota; Metazoa; Chordata; Lepidosauria; Squamata; Lacertidae
Description: tRNA.Ile
Source: RNAcentral
GUCUGAUAGCUCAGUUGGCUGCAGCAUGAUGCUGAUAAUGCCAGGGUUGCAGGUUCGAUCCCUGUUAGGGACA